Salvelinus namaycush (lake trout) is the source of this 1428-nucleotide long non-coding RNA. RefSeq lists it as uncharacterized. The transcript has 2 exons. The record is from RefSeq and is a predicted model, not a curated record. Lineage: Eukaryota; Metazoa; Chordata; Actinopteri; Salmoniformes; Salmonidae.
GGAUACGUCCCAGACUAUGACAACACCCCCAUCCAACGACUGUGAUCUGAGGACCCUUUUUUCCAGCAGCGACGGAGUAACGCACUUGGCCCUAACCACUGCUCCAUAAUUCCUGACCGUCAUCCUUCCCUCUCCUCAUGGUGUGCCAGUUGGGGUUGGUGCGCUGUCCAACUGUUGCCUGCCGUAUAGCCUCCUGCUGCUCCACCGACAGCGUCAUGUCAGCCAGGAUGCCUGCAUGCCCCCAGGGAGGGUAGCGGUUGUUCUGACUCAGGUUUAAGGAGACAUGCCAUUCCACCGAACCUGCCCCUGGAGACUGUUCCUCCAACCAAGAUCCUCUGUGGGCUCACGGGACAGAGGGUUGUAGUCUUCAGCCAGGUAAAGAUCCUCCACUUGGUUGGGCACGGCUGGCUUCCUCCACUCUGCAUUCCACAUCCGUACGGCCAAUAUUGUGAACCGGCAAAAUAGGCUGCAUGGCUACACUGAUGAGCUCCAUGGGGGCAUUUCCAUGUUGUAGAGAGAAUCCCCUGGUCACCUAGAGACCUGCAAACAGGAAGUGGUCACCUAUAGAGACCUGACAACAGGAAGUGGUCACCUGUAGAGACCUGCCAACAGGAAGUGGUCACCUGUAGAGACCUGCCAACAGGAAGUGGUCACCUGUAGAGACCUGCCAAAAGGAAGUGGUCACCUGUAGAGACCUGCCAACAGGAACUGGUCACCUAGAGACCUGCCAAAAGGAAGUGGUCACCUAUAGAGACCUGCCAAAAGGAAGUGGUCACCUAUAGAGACCUGCCAACAGGAAGUGGUCACCUAGAGACCUGCCAACAGGAAGUGGUCACCUGUAGAGACCUGCCAAAAGGAAGUGGUCACCUAUAGAGACCUGCCAACAGGAAGUGGUCACCUGUAGAGACCUGCCAACAGGAACUGGUCACCUAGAGACCUGCCAACAGGAAGUGGUCACCUGUAGAGACCUGCCAACAGGAAGUGGUCACCUGUAGAGACCUGCCAAAAGGAAGUUGUCACCUAUAGAGACCUGCCAACAGGAAGUGGUCACCUGUAGAGACCUGCCAACAGGAAGUGGUCACCUGUAGAGACCUGCCAAAAGGAAGUGGUCACCUGUAGAGACCUGCCAACAGGAAGUGGUCACCUAUAGAGACCUGCCAAAAGGAAGGUGGUUAAGUGACACAUGACUUUGAACCUGGAAAUGCAUUAGCUGUAAGAAAUGUGCUAUAUAAAUAGUUUGAUUUAAUUUAUGAAAUUACAGCUGGAGAAUAUUUAAUGAACUGUAAUUUUCACAUGAGGACAAGUGAAGAUUUUCCAUCAACUUUCAUUGAUACUGUAUCAAUCAUUUUAGUGGGAAAGGAUCCUAUAGAUCAAGACUGUGUGAAUCCAUGUACCACUCUAAAUAAAUAAACACUGUGUUUCUCAAGA